CCUACGGGGGGCAGCAGUGAGGAAUCUUGGUCAAUUGGCGCGAGCCUGACCCAGCAAAGUAGCGUGAAGUAUGACUGCCCUACGGGUUGUAAACUUCUUUUAUAAAGGAAUACAGUGAGGCACGUGUGCCUUUUUGUCUGUACUUUAUGAUUAAGGAUCGGCUAACUCCGUGUCAGCAGCCGCGGUAAUACGGAGGAUCCGAGCGUUAUCCGGAUUUAUUGGGGUUAAAGGGAGCGUAGAUGGGUUGUUAAGUCAGUUGUGAAAGUUUGCGGCUCAACCGUAAAAAUGCAAUUGAUACUGGCUGCCUUGAGUACAGUUGAGGUAGGCGGAAUUCGUGGUGUAGCGGUGAAAUGCUUAGAUAUCACGAAGAACUCCGAUUGCGAAGGCAGCUUACUAAACUGCCACUGACAUUGAUGCUCGAAAGUGUGGGUAUCAAACAGGAUUAGAUACCCUUGUAGUC
This 460-nucleotide ribosomal RNA is filed under the name uncultured bacterium. RNAcentral describes it as "partial 16S ribosomal RNA". It matches the Rfam family "Bacterial small subunit ribosomal RNA", at positions 338 to 795 of the family's 1533-position model. The record is from RNAcentral.